GUGCUCUUCAGCAGCACAUACCCUGAAGUUGGAACGACAUAGAGGAGAUGAGCGUGGCCCUGCACAAGGGCCACAGACAUUCCGUCCUUUUUAAAAUAAAUAA
Molecule: small nuclear RNA, 103 nt
Filed under: Dipodomys ordii (Ord's kangaroo rat)
Lineage: Eukaryota; Metazoa; Chordata; Mammalia; Rodentia; Heteromyidae
Source: RNAcentral